GAUGAACGCUGGCGGCGUGCCUAACACAUGCAAGUCGAACGGAGUUAUUAUUAUGAAGUUGUUGGAUGGAGUAAUAAGAACUUAGUGGCGGACGGGUGAGUAACGCGUGGGUAACCUGCCUCAUACAGGGGGAUAACAGUUGGAAACGGCUGCUAAAAACGCAAAACAUUGCGAUCUCGCACGCCAAUGCAUUUAAAUAUUUAUAGGUAUGAGAUGGGCCGGCGUCUGAUUAGCUAGUGGGUGGGGUAAUGGCCUACCAAGGCGACGAUCAGUAGCCGGCUUGAGAGAGUGACCCGCCACAUUGGGACUGAGACACGGCCCAAACUCCUACGGGAGGCAGCAGUGGGGAAUAUUGCACAAUGGGGGAAACCCUGAUGCAGCGACGCCGCGUGAGUGAAGAAGUAUUUCGGUAUGUAAAGCUCUAUCAGCAGGGAAGAAAAUGACGGUACCUGACUAAGAAGCCCCGGCUAACUACGUGCCAGCCGCCGCAGUAA
Molecule: ribosomal RNA, 494 nt
Filed under: uncultured bacterium
Lineage: Bacteria
Description: partial 16S ribosomal RNA
Rfam family: Bacterial small subunit ribosomal RNA
Source: RNAcentral